CUGUCCUGCAGUUGCCACGCCCCCUAUACUUUGCCACUCAGUUCCAUCUGUAGUUUACCACACCUGCAAUCAAUCUGCCUCAAUCAGCCACAGGCUCAAAUAGGCAGCACCUGUGCACACAGCCCUUCCUUUGUUUAAAACCACAUGGAGGAUCUUUGAUGCUGGACAUGCUGUGUUUCUUGCCUUGUGUGCGUUAUUGCUCUAUGUAAGUUCCAUAGUUUUACUUGGCAUACUCUGAAAGAAAGUGCUAAUGUCAUUAUAAGGCGAGUGCCUCUCCUGUAUUCCUGUUUGUGCUGUUUAAAGGUGCUGUAUAUUGAACAGUUAAAAGUAAAAUAAGUUUACAUUGCUCGUUUGAGCUACCUGAGAUAUGUGCAUUGGAGUAGUUCUAUUCAUUGUUACGUUAAUAACAGAGCAGAUUAUGUAUGUUUAUUGUGGCCUUGUUUGUGCCUUUGUGAUACUAACUAUAUCCCAUAUCCUUCCCCCUCAGAAACCACACACCCAAACACGUAACUAUACAAACCUGUAACCUGUCUUCUUGAUAAUGCUUGGAAUAAAAGAAUUGUGGAAUUGAAAGUGAUUGGACAAGAACUGUUCUUACUGACACCUCCACUGGUCUCACGCCAGCCACCCACAGCCCUCUACACCUCCUUUUUGGUUAAUUUUUGUUGUUUUCCAUAUCUUGUCCCUAAUAUCUGCAGAAAUGACAAAGACUGGGAAACCAGAUGCCUACUGGGCAGGUGUGAUGUCCCUGUAUGCCCAGGGAAAGUACACAUUUACAACUGGCAAGAGGCCGGGUCCAGGAGAUGGAGGGCGGUAAUGCUGCGGAUUGCUGAUUGUCCUCUGACGCCCCUGAAAGGUCAAACUACUGUCCGCAAACUAGACAUAUUUGGGAAAACGAUACCCUCAGCAGGGAAAGCGGCAUUCAGUGCAGGUCAGCUGUGUCUCAAUUCAGCUGAGAGUUUACAGGCCAGUGCAGGUGCAACAGCUACAGGUUCUCAGGCCAGUGCAGCAGCUGGGAAAGCUGUUACAGUUCCAGGACCACAGACGGGUGUAGCUCAGAAAACUCCAGCUCUGUGCAGGAUGAGCGAGGGGAAGUCUCUCACAUGCUCGCUGUGUAGUCAGGAGAUGUGCGAGGACUACACGCAGCACCUGUCAGACUACCACACCCAGGAACAGUGUGGUGCAAAGGCCUGGGGGGCUUUUGGAUUGUUACAGCACAUAGAGGAAUGUCACAUUUUGACCAACAGACCUCCCAGAUGUUGCUGCUCCUACCACUCCCAUAGCCCAAGAGACAACACAGCAACCGAGUGACCCACCCGAUGUUCCUGCUCCUCCCACAGCCCAUGAGACGUCACUAGCACCACCACGACACCCACUCACUCUGCAGCCUCCUGAGGUAAACUGGGUGAAUUUUCUACCCAAGCAGUUCACCAGAGUCAUCCAGCCAGCUGACCAGGAGUGGAUCGCCCACAUUUUAUGACAGUACUGGACAGCUGAAACAAAACCUGUCUCAGAACUGGUUUCAUCCCCCCAGCCCCACCAAAUCCAUCUCACCUCCUGAUCCACAUAAUUAUUUCCGCCAGCGGAUGUUCCUGUGGGCUCCAAUGCGGAUGUGGGGCAUCCCUCUGAAAUGCACCCAGUGCAAUAGGAAGAUGGACCAUUCUGGCAUUUACACUAAAGCCAGGGAGGUAAUUGACAUUGAUUCGAAAUAUUACCUGGUGGGUGGAGACUAUCCAAGGUGCAGCAAAUGCAUGAUUCCCGUCUGCCCUUGGAGCAUUGACAUUUUAAAACGGCUCGAUCCCUCCCACCGUUACAAAUUCCCAGCUGUUCUCACAACCCAUUUGGCACUGGACAGGAGGUGUGUUGCGAUGUUGCGCCCAAGAACAUUGGGGAACAGCUCCAGCUAUUUACAGCAAGCCUUGCAGGAGAUACACAGUGAGGAGUGGGCUAGGCGGACCAUCGACUACCUCACUGAUUGUGAGGUCCACAAAAAGUCCUGUGUCCUCACCCAGUCUCAAGCUCUGUAUCAGCUGCCACCACCCUUCAGUCCCCUGCCCCUGGCCCAGUGGUUUGAGACGGUUCAUGCCAAUGACAUUCUGAGUCACCUUGACGAGUUGAAGGGUGUGAUCACUUAAACGCUUGGUAGAAUCUUGAAACUGGACUCUACUAAGAAGAUCACAAAAAACUUGCUGGUGGCAUUGAGGGCACAGCCACAUGGAUGUCUAAUAUCGGCAAUGAAUUUGGGCAAGUGCUGAAUUCUGUGCUGACCACUGGUGAGGGGGCUGGCCUUGAUGACCUUUGUCAAGGCAUCGUCAAAAGGUACAGCGAUGCUGGUGAGCCACAGCCAGAUGCCAUAUAUGUGGACAGAGACUGCUGCAGUGAGACAGGGGUGGGUCCAGUUCUCACUUGGUUUCGACCAUGGACGUCAACGGUGAGACUGGAUAUUUUCCAUUUUAUGAGGCGGUUCACAAAGGGUCUUACGACAGAGCACCACCCACUGUAUGGCACGUUCUGCUCAAAGUUGUCCACUUGAAUCUUUGAGUGGGACAAAGAGGACAUUCACCAACUCAAAGAGGCCAAGAGGGCAGAAUUUAAAAAAGAAAAAAAAAAAAAAAAAAAGCACCAGGGUCACAUACCCACUGACUCUCAGGUGUUAUCCAGCAUCACAUCCAGUGAGCUGGUCAAGCACUGCCGCAGGAGAACCCGAGGAGUUGAGGAGACCCGCGUUCUAAUCCAGCAACUGCUGGACUCCAUGUGGGACCUCACAGACACAAGUGGCUUGCAUCUCAUAAAUCAUGACAGCAUGUCUCUUGUGUGGGAGGUACAGCAGAAGCACUUGCCCUGCAUCCAAGAUCCACCUGGUGUCCAGUUGUACACGAACACUGGAUCAGGCCUGGAGAAGGGAGACAAAACGCUGGACGUCCUAAGAUGUGGCAGAGGAUCCUCCUCGCUCGAGAGCUUUCAUCUGCACCAGUGUGGUUUCAU
Long non-coding RNA from Perca fluviatilis (European perch), 2985 nucleotides. RefSeq lists it as uncharacterized. The transcript is spliced from 3 exons. NCBI's taxonomy places the organism in Eukaryota, Metazoa, Chordata, Actinopteri, Perciformes, Percidae. The record is from RefSeq and is a predicted model, not a curated record.